CCUACGGGAGGCAGCAGUGGGGGAUAUUGCACAAUGGAGGAAACUCUGAUGCAGCGACGCCGCGUGAGUGAAGACGGUCUUCGGAUUGUAAACCUCUAUCUGCGGGGAAGAAAAUGACGGUACCCAAAUAGGAAGCUCCGGCUAACUACGUGCCAGCAGCCGCGGUAAUACGUAGGGAGCGAGCGUUGUCCGGAUUUACUGGGUGUAAAGGGAGCGUAGACGGGCGGGAAUGUUGAAUGUUAAAACUACCGGCUAACCUGGGAGCUGCGUUUAAAACUUCUAGUCUUGAGUGAAGUAGAGGCAGGCGGAAUUCCUAGUGUAGCGGUGAAAUGCGUAGAUAUUAGGAGGAACACCAGUGGCGAAGGCGGCCUGCUGGACUGUAACUGACGCUGAGGCUCGAAAGCGUGGGGAGCAAACAGGAUUAGAUACCCGUGUAGUC
RNAcentral lists this ribosomal RNA (439 nucleotides) under uncultured bacterium. RNAcentral describes it as "partial 16S ribosomal RNA". It matches the Rfam family "Bacterial small subunit ribosomal RNA", at positions 338 to 795 of the family's 1533-position model. The record is from RNAcentral.